This 1870-nucleotide long non-coding RNA is filed under the name Anas platyrhynchos platyrhynchos (common mallard). RNAcentral describes it as "lncRNA (ENSAPLG00000022468.1)". The record is from RNAcentral. Lineage: Eukaryota; Metazoa; Chordata; Aves; Anseriformes; Anatidae.
AAAAUGAAUGAGCUAAAUUUCCAGGCACCGUAACUGUCCAGACAUUUUCCCUGACAGCAAAAUCCCUCUCUUAGCUCUGCAGACAAUGUACAGCAUACAAGACGGUCCUCCAUUGCUUUUACAAACUAGGUCAUGAUGUUUGGAAUAUGUUUGGAAAGAGUGAAGUAUACUGUGAGGCACUGAUACCACUGAGAGUGCUCAGAUUUAUAACUGGGAGAUGACGAAACCACAUGUAAACACCAGUCUGCUUGCCGUCAGCUCCUCUGAACUCAAGGUUCACCCUUCACAUGGUGAAGUAUCAAUAUCUCAUCUGUAAUAAGAAGCUCCUGACACGGGUUCAGCUCUGCGUGCCGUUCAACAAUGGGAGAGCUCAAGCACAGGCUGCCUAUUUGUCACCUGGCUACCCUUGCACACUGCUAUACCUCUUGAUAUAGAUGAAACAGAGCUGCUGUUUGUUCCCUCUCAAAGAAGGAAAUGUUCUUUUAAAUCAGUAAAUGAUCCUUGGCACAGUUAAAGGAAAAAGUUUGCAAAGAAAAUGAGUCGUCUCCACGACCUGAAAAGAGCCACAUUCCUCUGCAUCAUCUCCUCUCAUUGCCUAGAAUGGCACCGUGUGUAUGUGAAAGAGACCUGAGUGAAGGGCGGGGCCCUAGUGAACCCACCCAUCACCUUUCUAACAUUUAUAGAUUUAUUUUCUAGAUAAUUUAGAGUCUGAACUAUGUCACAGAUAUUCUCAGCCAUGUGUCCAAAUCCAUUCGCUUAUGGUUCAAAUAUGCAUCACUGAGAUUUUUGCAUGCUGAUAUGUUUUUUUAAGGGUUAAAAUGAUUCAUUUCCCAUCACUUAUUUAUCAUUUCCCAUCAUAUUUCUAGAUGUAGCACAAGACUUCUUGGUUCUGCUGAAUUCAAUGGAACUGUAGAUUUACAUCACAUAUGCCUCUGGCUCAUUUCUUUACAAGAACAGCCUUCUUUGAAUUGUAUAAUUGGUAAAAGUUCAGACAACUGAACUUUUUGGAGCUCAUAACAACUCUUGACUGAUACCCACAUUUCAUGGAAUCAGAAGCAAUGUUUUGGUCUAGUGUUCUUAUUUCUUCUACAUGUUGUAAGGCUAAGACAUGGGGUAAAUUACAAUGCUCCUAUUUAUUGCAGUGAUACUAUUGACCCCAUGCUAUUAUGUGGUGCUGUCCAAGUGUGACUUGGCCUCCUGCUAAAGAGAGACACUGUUCCCAGCACUCCACAUGCGCCUGCCUGGGGUUCCAAUGUAGCAGUUUCCUCUGUAUCCCAUGAUCUGAAUGACGUAUCCCUGCACCUCAUUCUACAAAAUCCAAGCCUGAAUAUUUUUGCCUACAAAUUCCCUGCUCCCAAGUCUAAGAAACCAUCCAAGAUUUGUGUUUGCAUGAACUUCUAAGGACCAAAGAGAGCUUGGAAUGAGGAGAUGCAACUUUCAUAUUAUUAUCAAAAACAUUCAAAAUCUGAAGGCACAAGAAUGGUAAAGUGAAACCUGCUCCCAUUUGUGGCUGACAACCUGGCCUCACCUUGACAAUGUUCGAAGGCCAUUUCUUCACAAAAUUAAAGAAAUCUUAAAAGUUGUGAGUUGUAUUUUUCCGAGACAGACUGACUGAAGAGAAAAAGGGUCAAAUUGACCCCUGGUGAGACUCUGUGGAUCUCAAGGAAAUGAAUGUAAAGAAGUAUCCUAAGGGUGAAUUAUGCUAAAAUUGCAAAGGAAAUGCUGCUUUAAUGAGAAAAAAGUUCAAAGAUGGAGAAAUAUAUCAGUGAAUUCAUAGCAGAUUUUCUAGAGUCAGACCAAGUUACAACAAUCAAAAAAUAUAACUGAAUUGAGACAGAAAAAGUAAAAUAAAGGAGGGACCAGAACUACA